ACAACGCUUGGUCAAGUUUAAAU
RNAcentral lists this small nuclear RNA (23 nucleotides) under Arabidopsis thaliana (thale cress). RNAcentral's name for it is "snRNA_09420". The record is from RNAcentral. Lineage: Eukaryota; Viridiplantae; Streptophyta; Magnoliopsida; Brassicales; Brassicaceae.